Long non-coding RNA from Paramisgurnus dabryanus, 407 nucleotides. RefSeq lists it as uncharacterized. The record is from RefSeq and is a predicted model, not a curated record. NCBI's taxonomy places the organism in Eukaryota, Metazoa, Chordata, Actinopteri, Cypriniformes, Cobitidae.
GGGAUAUGCCACUGCAGCUGACAUUGAGAGUUCACUCUCUAUACCUGCAACUCCUCGUCUGAUACUUCUUGGAGAAACGAGAAGACGCUUCCAGCGCUGGAUGCUCAGCCUUGAGGGCCAAAUUUGCGAAGGGAUCCAGUCCACCUUUGUGACAUGGCUGGCGUCUUUUUUUCCUGUUUUCACACUUGAAUUCAUCCAGAGAGACUUUGUGGGUAUAAACCCCAAAAAAGGGACAAAUGCUGCAAAGGGGGAAAAAAGAAGAACUGUCAAUUCACAUGUCGCCAGCCUCUUGAGCAAGCUCAUGGACUUUCAGUGGGAUUUCAUUUGAAAAUGACCCAAGACUUCGCAAAGGAUCCUCAUUGUGUGCUUUGAGAAAAUGGUUAGUGGUCUAAGCAGUGACACUGUUU